UCUAGUGAGGCCACAUCUGGAGUACUGUGUCCAGUUCUGGUCUCCUCAGUACAAGCUACUGGAGAGGGUUCAGUGGAGGUCACAAAGAUGGUUAGGGGUCUGGAGCAUCUCUCUUACCGGAGGAGACUGUGGAAGCUGGGCUUGUUUAGUCUAGAGAAGAAAUGACUGAGAGGGAAUCUUAUCAAUAUAUAUAAAUAUCUCAAAUGUGGGUGUCAGAGAAUGGUGCCAGACUCUUUUCAGUGGUGCCCAGCUCCAGGACAAGA
Molecule: long non-coding RNA, 263 nt
Organism: Empidonax traillii (willow flycatcher)
Lineage: Eukaryota; Metazoa; Chordata; Aves; Passeriformes; Tyrannidae
Exons: 3
Source: RefSeq, a predicted model, not a curated record